UUACUCUGCUACUACAACCCCAAUUUCAAGAGAGAGUACCCAUAGCUGCAAAGACAGCACAAGCGAAGCGCUGGCGUUUGAAGGAGAGCACCAGCUGCAUUCCCACUGGAGCUGGAUUUGGAGGAGGGCCCCCUGAGCAGCCCUUCAAAGAGACAGCGAGGCCCUGUAGCACCAGUGCACCAUGAGCCCACCGGUAGCAACCAGGAUGCUGCUCCUGCUGCAUCUGCUGCUCCUCCAUCUCCUGAACCAAACGGUCCUUCUCCACCAAGGCUGGCACCAGACAGCGGAGCUGGAGGCGACGGAGUUGGACGUCAGCACAGUUUAUGCGAUAGGAAAUAGAGAUCUCAGAGCCAGGUACCACUGUUCUGUCUCCAGUGGGCACAUCCACCCCAGAAUCAGCCAUACAAACAGCAACUCCCACAGCCAGGGCAGGCUCAGUUCUGGUAAGUGCUUGUCAGCUAACUCAGCACCAGGAGGACAUGGGCCCAUACACCCUUACAGAGAUGUUAGGCUCUCAGCGCAACCAUGAUUGAUGCAAGGCUGCAUAGUCUGGCCAAGUAGUCAUCGGUUUAGUGCAUCUGUGCAGGUAGACUCCACGUCCAACACAGGAGACCAGUGGAUGUUUAUGGAGAAGUACAGAACCCAGGCAAAUUCAGAGCUCUUGACAAGCGUAUGAGCGCAGUGGUGCAAUUAUUUUCUUCUGAGGACCCAAAUGAUGCUACCAACCAACUGCUCCUUCACUUUGAUGUCUCUUCUUUGGCAAUCUGGAUGAAAAUUAAGACUUCAUGAAGCAGGUAUAAAAACCUGGUAGCAAGGUGUGGCUUAGAUGGCCUUGCUCCUCUCAUUCUGUUUCUCAUGAAAUGUGCCAGCUUGAAGAUGGAGAGCUUCAUUGUUUGCAAGCAUGUCCUCACCAGCUUUAUCACUCCAUUCUCU
This 933-nucleotide long non-coding RNA is filed under the name Gallus gallus (chicken). RNAcentral describes it as "long non-coding RNA NONGGAT006699". Lineage: Eukaryota; Metazoa; Chordata; Aves; Galliformes; Phasianidae. The record is from RNAcentral.